RNAcentral lists this ribosomal RNA (253 nucleotides) under uncultured bacterium. RNAcentral describes it as "partial 16S ribosomal RNA". It matches the Rfam family "Bacterial small subunit ribosomal RNA", at positions 524 to 776 of the family's 1533-position model. The record is from RNAcentral.
UACAGAGGGGGCAAGCGUUAUUCGGAAUUAUUGGGCGUAAAGGGCGCGUAGGCGGCCUGGCAAGUGGAAGGUGAAAUCCCUCGGCUUAACCGAGGAACUGCCCUCCAAACUGCUUGGCUUGAGUCCGGGAGAGGUGAGUGGAAUUCCCAGUGUAGCGGUGAAAUGCGUAGAUAUUGGGAGGAACACCUGUGGCGAAAGCGGCUCACUGGACCACAACUGACGCUGAGGCGCGAAAGCUAGGGGAGCAAACAGG